GAUGAACGCUGGCGGCGUGCUUAACACAUGCAAGUCGAACGGAAAGGCCCUGCUUUUGUGGGGUGCUCGAGUGGCGAACGGGUGAGUAACACGUGAGUAACCUGCCCUUGACUUUGGGAUAACUUCAGGAAACUGGGGCUAAUACCGGAUAGGAGCUCCUGCUGCAUGGUGGGGGUUGGAAAGUUUCGGCGGUUGGGGAUGGACCCGCGGCUUAUCAGCUUGUUGGUGGGGUAGUGGCUUACCAAGGCUUUGACGGGUAGCCGGCCUGAGAGGGUGACCGGCCACAUUGGGACUGAGAUACGGCCCAGACUCCUACGGGAGGCAGCAGUGGGGAAUAUUGCACAAUGGGCGGAAGCCUGAUGCAGCAACGCCGCGUGCGGGAUGACGGCCUUCGGGUUGUAAACCGCUUUCGCCUGUGACGAAGCGUGAGUGACGGUAAUGGGUAAAGAAGCACCGGCUAACUACGUG
This 468-nucleotide ribosomal RNA is filed under the name uncultured bacterium. RNAcentral's name for it is "partial 16S ribosomal RNA". It matches the Rfam family "Bacterial small subunit ribosomal RNA", at positions 28 to 507 of the family's 1533-position model. The record is from RNAcentral.